Molecule: ribosomal RNA, 253 nt
Filed under: uncultured bacterium
Lineage: Bacteria
Description: partial 16S ribosomal RNA
Rfam family: Bacterial small subunit ribosomal RNA
Source: RNAcentral
UACGGGGGGUGCAAGCGUUGUUCGGAAUCACUGGGUGUAAAGGGUGUGUAGGCGGGUCGGUAAGUCGGAUGUGAAAACUCCCAGCUUAACUGGGAGCUGGCAUUCGAAACUGCCGGUCUUGAGUAAGGGAGAGGAAGAUGGAAUUCCCGGUGUAGCGGUGAAAUGCGUAGAUACCGGGAGGAACACCGGUGGCGAAGGCGGUCUUCUGGCCCUUCACUGACGCUGAAACACGAAGGCUAGGGUAGCAAACAGG